UACGUAGGGGGCAAGCGUUGUCCGGAAUCAUUGGGCGUAAAGAGCGUGUAGGCGGCUCGGUAAGUCCGCUCUGAAAGCCCGGGGCUCAACCCCGGGAGGCGGGCGGAUACUGUCGGGCUAGAGUCCGGAAGAGGCGAGUGGAAUUCCUGGUGUAGCGGUGAAAUGCGCAGAUAUCAGGAGGAACACCAAUGGCGAAGGCAGCUCGCUGGGACGGUACUGACGCUGAGGAGCGAAAGCAUGGGGAGCGAACAGG
This 253-nucleotide ribosomal RNA is filed under the name uncultured bacterium. Its description in RNAcentral is "partial 16S ribosomal RNA". It matches the Rfam family "Bacterial small subunit ribosomal RNA", at positions 524 to 776 of the family's 1533-position model. The record is from RNAcentral.